UACGUAGGUGGCAAGCGUUGUCCGGAAUUAUUGGGCGUAAAGCGCGCGCAGGCGGUCCUUUAAGUCUGAUGUGAAAUCUUGUGGCUUAACCACAAGCUGCAUUGGAAACUGGGGGACUUGAGUGCAGAAGAGGAAAGUGGAAUUCCAAGUGUAGCGGUGAAAUGCGUAGAGAUUUGGAGGAACACCAGUGGCGAAGGCGACUUUCUGGUCUGUAACUGACGCUGAGGCGCGAAAGCGUGGGGAGCAAACA
This 250-nucleotide ribosomal RNA is filed under the name uncultured bacterium. RNAcentral's name for it is "partial 16S ribosomal RNA". It matches the Rfam family "Bacterial small subunit ribosomal RNA", at positions 524 to 774 of the family's 1533-position model. The record is from RNAcentral.